CGGAGGCAGCAGUAAGGAAUUUUCUGCAAUGGGCGAAAGCCUGACAGAGCAAUACCGCGUGAGGGAUGAAGGCCUGUGGGUUGUAAACCUCUUUUCUCAGGAAAGAAGAUCUGACGUUACUUGAGGAAUAAGCAUCGGCUAACCCUGUGCCAGCAGCCGCGGUAAUACAGAGGAUGCAAGUGUUAUUCGGAAUUAUUGGGCGUAAAGCGUCUGUAGGUGGGCAAUUAAGUCUUUUGUCAAAUCUUUGGGCUUAACCCAAAGCGUGCAAAAGAAACUGUUUGUCUAGAGUCUGUUAGAGGUAAAGGGAAUUUCCAGUGGAGCGGUAAAAUGCGUAGAUAUUGGAAGGAACACCAAAAGCGAAAGCACUUUACUGGGCCAGUACUGACACUGAGAGACGAAAGCUAGGGGAGCAAACAGGAUUAGAUACCCUGGUAGUCG
RNAcentral lists this ribosomal RNA (438 nucleotides) under uncultured bacterium. RNAcentral's name for it is "bacterial SSU rRNA". It matches the Rfam family "Bacterial small subunit ribosomal RNA", at positions 343 to 796 of the family's 1533-position model. The record is from RNAcentral.